Long non-coding RNA from Diospyros lotus (date-plum), 689 nucleotides. RefSeq lists it as uncharacterized. The record is from RefSeq and is a predicted model, not a curated record. NCBI's taxonomy places the organism in Eukaryota, Viridiplantae, Streptophyta, Magnoliopsida, Ericales, Ebenaceae. The transcript is spliced from 2 exons.
AUAAAAUUCGGUGACCCGAUGAGAAGUCCACCUCAUAGCCCUAAUUAUUUUUUUUAAUUUCUUGCUCCUCUCUCUCUCUCUCUCUCUCUCUAUAUGUAUAGCAGCCAGAGGGUGCUGAAGAACUUGUCAAGAGAUUGAUUUGAUUUGGUCGGAGUUUGUUCGCGCUUCAAUCUGAAAAUUUUCUGCUCGUUGGAUUGUUUGGAUUAGAUUUUUGCAGAGAAGAUCGAAGGAGAGAAGAUGAUGGUGGAGUUCUUUCUGCUGGGGUGCACCGGCGUUGUGGUGUUCCUUCACGGAGCCAAUUUCUUCUUCCACGCUCUCUCUUCUCACCUCGCCUUCAGAUCUCUCAGCUUUUUGGGAUUCGUCGGAUGGUAAAGAGAGCAAGCCGGAUAGAGGUGAUCCCUUGGCUCGUUGAUGCAGAACACACAUUUCUACAGUGGCUCUAAACAUCUUCCCCCCUGGUUUCUCUUAUCCGAUCGCGAUUUGAUCUUACUUUAAAAAUGUAUUUGAAUGUGUCAACUUUAAUUAGUACUUUUUAAGUUUGAGAUACCAAUAUCGACUUAAAUUUAGUAUUGGGUUAGUUAGGAGGCUUAACAUAGAAAAAGGUACGAUGUUUUCCUGAGCAACCGGAAGCAUAAGUUGUGUUAAGGAUUUGAAAAUAACAUGCGCAUGCGUUCAUGGUUAUUCAUUUA